UCGAACUUUUGGCCUUAGGUGAUCUCCCUCGGCCUCCAAAGUGCUGAGAUUACAGGUGUGAGCCACCCUGCCCGGCAGGACCUACAUUCUUAAUGAGCAUCUCUAUUGAUUUUGAGGCAGGUGGUCCAGAGAGUCAUUUUAAAAAGAUCAAUUUAGUAAUCAGAAGAGAUGAUAAAGACUCAUCUAUUUCAAAAUUGAAACAGUAUAAGGAGGUGUCUAGUGGGAGCUUCCCCUACCCUGCCCUUUCCAUCCACCUCCCUGCCCCCCAGUUAAUCACUGUUCUUAGGUGCCCUCAAAGAGCAGAGGGAGACCUUUGUGCCUGGCUGCCUUUUUUUUUUUUUUUUUAAAUACAAAAGGUAGCAUUGUACAUGCUUCUGGACUUGCUUUUUCCCUUAGUGUACCUUGGGGAAUUUGCCUUGAUAUAUGGAGAGAUGCAGCUGCUUUGUUUCAUGUUUUGCUUUUUUUUUUGGACAGUUGGACAUGCGUGUCCCAAGUGUGUUUAUUUAGCCGUUCUUUAUUGUGAUGACUGGGGUUGUUUCCAGCCUUUGGCUCAUUAUAAGGAAUGCUGCAGUGAAAUAGCCGUGUCUGUCUCGUUUGAUGUGUGCACAGGUAGACCUGUGUGACGAGUGCUUAGAUGCAGGAUUGCCGAGGCACAGGGAAAAUAAGUUUGUGGUUUUGCGAUGUUUCUAUUAGGCGAUGUCUGAGAGUGCCCCCAUGGCCUUGUGUUUUCAAACAUUUGGAUUUGUACCAGUCUGAGCAGUGGAAAAAUUCAGCACCUCGGGGUGUUUAACUUUCCUUUCUUUCUCUGUGGAUGAGUUUGACCCUCAAGGGCCAUGUGAGUUCCUAUUCUGAAGUGUCUAUAUUGUCUAUUUUUCUGUUGGGUAGUUGGUCUUUUUCUUAUUUAUGUAUUAGCUCUUUAUAGAUUAAGGAGCUUUGCCCUUUGUAAUCAGUGGGAAAUGUUUCUUUUUCCCACUUUGUCCUUUUGGGCCUCACUUUGAGAAACAGUCUUCUAGCUUAUCUAUGGGGUAAGGUUUCAGCAGACCCUCUAGAGAGCCCUAAAAUCAUGCCGUCCAAGAAAACUUCCGGCCAUUGUGGAAAUGCCCUUUAUCUGCACUGUCCAGUAGGCACCUGUGCCAAUUGCCUGUGCCGAUUGCCUGUGCUGACUGCUUGUGCCGAUUGAGCAUUUGAAAUACAGCCACCAAGGAAUGGAUUUUUUCUAGUUUAUUUUAAUUGAUUUAAAGAGCCACAUAUGGCUAGUGGCUACCUUCUUGGACAGUACAGCUCAGGAACCCACAAUAUCAUGAGACUUGUUACUAUAAUCUAUACUAUAAUUAUUGUUGCACAUCCUCCCAAGGUAAAAAAUAUACUUGCCCCACUGAGGGGAACAAAAUUACCAUCUCAAGCCAGCUGAGGUGCUACUCAGUUGAAAACUAUGGACCAAAACAUGAAUGGCCAGUAAAAACAGAUCGAGACCAGUGGGUGUAUAGGUCCUGGGUGUUGAGCUGGGUUUUGAAGACUGGAUAGGAUUUGGCCACGGAGAUAGCAAGGAGAAAGUUCAGAAGGGACAGCAUAUGCAAAGACCUGGAGGUGAAAUAGCUCAUGCAUUCCAGAGACUACAGGGGGUUCUGUGUCACCAGAGAACCAAGGGGCCAGGAGUGUUGGAAGAGGGGAAGUGGAGGCGCUCGAAGCUGGAGAGCUCAGCCAAGGCCUUGGACUCCAGGUGGAGAUCCCCACAGGGCUUGGCAGGCACUUAGUAAAUUGCGGUUUGUCCCAGGGUAGUUACACGAUGCAGGGGAAUGAUAAAUAGGAGCGGCUGAUGCAGCAGUACCUGGCACAUCAGGUACUGACAAGGUGGAGCUGACAAGGUGUUUUAGUAGGCAGGAGAGAUGGUCUCGUUUCCAUUUUCACAAGACAACAUGCCCUUUCCUUUACCAAGAUUCUGUAGGCUGGAGAGCCCCACCUGCCUUUUCUUCUUGGUACCUGCUGCUGUUGCCAAAGAGAAAACUGCUGGAACGACUAAGAGACCAGCUGGAGAGACCCUCCUCCCUGUCCCCCACUUCACUGCAGACGUGUUUCACAUGGAGAAAAGUUGAAAGAAUAGUAUAAUGAAUGGACAUCCACGCGCCCCACUCCUAGACUCUGCAGUCCCGCAUUCACCGUGUCUGCUUCAUCUGGUUGUGUUUUAUGCUGAACUUGAACUUGUGUUCAUACUUAGUGACAUUCUUAGUGUUUCAGCAGGCAUCUCCUAAGAAUAAGGACUUUCUCCUACAGAAUCAUGAUGCUGUCACGCCUGAGAUGAUUAUAAUCUUUGUUUACUAGUAACUUCUCCUUAUCCAUGCCGUACUUGAAUUUCUUUAGUUACCUUUUGAAGGAUAUGCAACCUUUAGAACAUUGUUUUAAAACCAGUAUUCAUUCAAGGUACAUGUCUCUUUGACUUGUUUUAUUUAAUCUAGUUCAGCCCUUUGUCUUUUUUUUUCCUCCCCAAGACAUUGAUUUUUUAUUAAUUUAUUUAUUUUUUUGACAAGCCAGGCUAGUUGUCUUGUAGAAUGUCACACCUUCUGGGUGUGUCAUAUUAUUGCCUUUUGGUGUUGUUUACUUUUGUUCCCCAUGUUUGUAUUUCUUGUAAACUAGAAUUAGGCCAGGAACAGGGUUGGCAAACUAUGGCCCUGCCUUCCAUUUUUGUAAAUAAAGUUUUAUUGGAACAUGA
Molecule: long non-coding RNA, 2707 nt
Filed under: Homo sapiens (human)
Lineage: Eukaryota; Metazoa; Chordata; Mammalia; Primates; Hominidae
Description: HSALNT0397935
Source: RNAcentral